CACCCUUCGGGGUGAGUGGCAGACGGGUGAGUAACGCGUGGGAACGUACCCUUUGGUUCGGAAUAGCCCUUGGAAACGAGGAGUAAUACCGAAUGAGCCCUACGGGGGAAAGAUUUAUCGCCGAAGGAUCGGCCCGCGUUAGAUUAGCUAGUUGGUGAGGUAAUGGCUCACCAAGGCGACGAUCUAUAGCUGGUUUGAGAGGAUGAUCAGCCACACUGGGACUGAGACACGGCCCAGACUCCUACGGGAGGCAGCAGUGGGGAAUCUUGGACAAUGGGGGCAACCCUGAUCCAGCCAUGCCGCGUGAAUGAUGAAGGCCUUAGGGUUGUAAAAUUCUUUCAGUGGGGAAGAUAAUGACGGUACCCACAGAAGAAGCCCCGGCUAACUCCGUGCCAGCAGCCGCGGUAAUACGGAGGGGGCUAGCGUUGUUCGGAAUUACUGGGCGUAAAGCGCGCGUAGGCGGACUAGCCAGUCAGAGGUGAAAGCCCAGGGCUCAACCCUGGAACUGCCUUUGAUACUGUUAGUCUGGAGUCCGGGAGAGGUGUGUGGAAUUCCGAGUGUAGAGGUGAAAUUCGUAGAUAUUCGGAGGAACACCAGAGGCGAAGGCGGCACACUGGACCGGUACUGACGCUGAGGCGCGAAAGCGUGCGGAGCAGAACAGGAUUAGAUACCCUGGUAGUCCACGCCGUAAACGAUGGAUGCUAGUUGUCUGGCAGCAUGCUGUC
RNAcentral lists this ribosomal RNA (725 nucleotides) under uncultured bacterium. Its description in RNAcentral is "bacterial SSU rRNA". It matches the Rfam family "Bacterial small subunit ribosomal RNA", at positions 69 to 840 of the family's 1533-position model. The record is from RNAcentral.